This 352-nucleotide transfer-messenger RNA is filed under the name Chloroflexota bacterium. It matches the Rfam family "transfer-messenger RNA". From Rfam's summary of the family: Bacterial tmRNA, also known as 10Sa RNA or SsrA, is named for its dual tRNA and mRNA-like properties. Its role is to liberate the mRNA from a stalled ribosome. To accomplish this part of the tmRNA is used as a reading frame that ends in a translation stop signal. The record is from RNAcentral. Lineage: Bacteria; Bacillati; Chloroflexota.
GGGGAUGUCCGGUUUCGACAGGGACGUACGUGCGAGAAUUGCAAGCCGAGGCGCCCGAGGCCUCGUAAAAACGGGCAACGCCAUAACUGGCAACGAUUCUCUCGCUCUGGCUGCCUAAGUAGCGGCCACGUCCACGCGAUCCUCACCCCGGCGGGAUCGCAGUUGGGCGUCACUUAGUCGGGGUGCGACGUCGCCGACCGCGGGCUGAGCGGCGUCAAAGACCAGCCGGCUAGCCGAAGCGGGACGCCGUCGAGGGCGGCCCCCGAGGCGAAACCCAAAACCUCGACUACGCUUGUAGGAUAUUCUCGGCGGAAGUUUCUGGACGGGGGUUCGACUCCCCCCAUCUCCACCA